This 245-nucleotide long non-coding RNA is filed under the name Setaria italica (foxtail millet). RNAcentral's name for it is "long non-coding RNA (SITA_LNC004618)". The record is from RNAcentral. Lineage: Eukaryota; Viridiplantae; Streptophyta; Magnoliopsida; Poales; Poaceae.
AGAAGAUGGCCCAAGAACAGGCACCAUCUCCAUCCUCAGUUUGGGUAAAGUCUGUGAUGAUGAAGGAGCGCAUCUAGGCACUCAUCGACCGGGGUCUCCUGGGACCCAAGGCACUGCUCGAAUGGAAGGCGACCCCUGGGCUAGAAUUCCCCAGUGAAGACAGGAUGGAGACGGUGGUCUUUGCAUCUUUCUUUGAGCACGGAUUUAGGAUCCCUUGCGGGGACUUCUUUCGCGGAUUGCUGAAC